RNAcentral lists this ribosomal RNA (677 nucleotides) under uncultured Lachnospiraceae bacterium. RNAcentral describes it as "bacterial SSU rRNA". It matches the Rfam family "Bacterial small subunit ribosomal RNA", at positions 61 to 739 of the family's 1533-position model. The record is from RNAcentral. Lineage: Bacteria; Bacillati; Bacillota; Clostridia; Lachnospirales; Lachnospiraceae.
GUCGAACGGGAAACUUUCAUUGAAGCUUCGGCAGAUUUGGUCUGUUUCUAGUGGCGGACGGGUGAGUAACGCGUGGGUAACCUGCCUUAUACAGGGGGAUAACAACCAGAAAUGGUUGCUAAUACCGCAUAAGCGCACAGGACCGCAUGGUCCGGUGUGAAAAACUCCGGUGGUAUAAGAUGGACCCGCGUUGGAUUAGCUAGUUGGCAGGGUAACGGCCUACCAAGGCGACGAUCCAUAGCCGGCCUGAGAGGGUGAACGGCCACAUUGGGACUGAGACACGGCCCAGACUCCUACGGGAGGCCAGCAGUGGGGAAUAUUGCACGAUGGGGGAAACCCUGAUGCAGCGACGCCGCGUGAAGGAAGAAGUAUCUCGGUAUGUAAACUUCUAUCAGCAGGGAAGAUAGUGACGGUACCUGACUAAGAAGCCCCGGCUAACUACGUGCCAGCAGCCGCGGUAAUACGUAGGGGGCAAGCGUUAUCCGGAUUUACUGGGUGUAAAGGGAGCGUAGACGGACUGGCAAGUCUGAUGUGAAAGGCGGGGGCUCAACCCCUGGACUGCAUUGGAAACUGUUAGUCUUGAGUGCCGGAGAGGUAAGCGGAAUUCCUAGUGUAGCGGUGAAAUGCGUAGAUAUUAGGAGGAACACCAGUGGCGAAGGCGGCUUACUGGACGGUAA